CACACCGCCUCCAUCUCCACGCGUGCAACAGCAACCCCGGGAGGAGCUCGAGUCGCAGCGGUGGUCCACGGCGCCAUCGUCGGCAAGAGGAGUGUGGGCUGCAGAGACGGCCAGCUCCGUCCGGCUUUCGCGCUGCCGUCCAUCCACCCGAGAAAUCAGCCCCCACGUCCUUGCCUUCAUCCUCUCUCGCUGUCACGCACACUCUCUCCUCGGUCCUCUCACACACGCGCUCGUGGCCGGAUAUUUGACACGGGUUCUUGAGGAAAGCAGGUACUGCAUUUUGUUUGUGUCAACUAUACUGAAUCUGCAAAGCCUUUUUUGUCUGCCGAGAAAUUCAUACUCUGCAUUAACGGAGGAGAGGCGAAAGCAUCACUCCAGGCACAACUGAAGGCCGUCA
Aegilops tauschii subsp. strangulata is the source of this 397-nucleotide long non-coding RNA. RefSeq lists it as uncharacterized. NCBI's taxonomy places the organism in Eukaryota, Viridiplantae, Streptophyta, Magnoliopsida, Poales, Poaceae. The record is from RefSeq and is a predicted model, not a curated record.